Molecule: ribosomal RNA, 499 nt
Filed under: uncultured Glomeromycotina
Lineage: Eukaryota; Fungi; Glomeromycota
Description: partial small subunit ribosomal RNA
Rfam family: Eukaryotic small subunit ribosomal RNA
Source: RNAcentral
GCAAUAGCGUAUAUUAAAGUUGUUGCAGUUAAAAAGCUCGUAGUUGAAUUUCGAGAUCAAUUUGUCGGUCGUGCCUCGGUACGUACUGGCAUUAUUGAUUUCUCCUUUCUGAAGAACCAUGAUGUCAUUAAUUUGGUGUCUUGGGGAAUCAGGACUGUUACUUUGAAAAAAUUAGAGUGUUUAAAGCAGGCUCACGCUUGAAUACAUUAGCAUGGAAUAAUGAAAUAGGACGUUUGAUUCUAUUUUGUUGGUUUCUAGGAUCGACGUAAUUAUUAAUAGGGAUAGUUGGGGGCAUUAGUAUUCAAUUGUCAGAGGUGAAAUUCUUGGAUUUAUUGAAGACUAACUACUGCGAAAGCAUUUGCCAAGGAUGUUUUCAUUAAUCAAGAACGAAAGUUAGGGGAUCGAAGACGAUCAGAUACCGUCGUAGUCUUAACCAUAAACUAUGCCGACUAGGGAUCGGAUGAUGUUAAUUUUUUAAUGACUCAUUCGGCGCCUUACG